GAUGAAGAACGCAGCGAAAUGCGAUACUUGGUGUGAAUUGCAGAAUCCCGUGAACCAUCGAGUCUUUGAACGCAAGUUGCGCCCGAAGCCAUUAGGCCGAGGGCACGCCUGCCUGGGCGUCACACGUCGUUGCCCCCCCAUCUACUCCUUCGGGAUUGCGGGGGGCGGAUGAUGGCCUCCCGUGCGCCUCGCCGCGCGGUUGGCAUAAAUGCCAAGUCCUCGGCGACGCACGCCACGACAAUCGGUGGUUGCGAAACCUCGGUUGCCCGUCGUGUGCGGUCGUCGCGCAUCGAGGGCUCGAAAAAAUUGCCGGGUUCCGGCUCGGCUUUCAACGCGACCCCAGGUCAGGCGGGGUUACCCGCUGAAUUUAAGCAUAUCAAUAGCGGAGGA
Molecule: unclassified non-coding RNA, 390 nt
Filed under: soil metagenome
Description: partial contains 5.8S ribosomal RNA, internal transcribed spacer 2, and large subunit ribosomal RNA
Rfam family: 5.8S ribosomal RNA (bases 1-122)
Source: RNAcentral